CAGCACCUCUCCUCUGCGCACCUGGGGGCUGGAGGCUGGUGGAGCCGCCUCCCUCACACUGGGUGGUGAUCAAAGGCAUGUGUGGAGGCCCUGCUCUGCCCAGGUGUCUAUGCCAGAGCCGAGGGCCACAUAAGAGCACAGCCCCGCAGGACAGCGCCAGCUCCCGAGGUGGGGGUAGGUGGCCAGGACUGGAGGUGGGUGAUUUGAGGAAGCCACUGCCCUUUGAAGUCUCCAGGGUGUUCCGGUCAAUGCCCUGAAGGAAACAAGGCUGGGGCCAAAAUAACAAGGGGAGGAAGAGGCAGUAGAGCCAAGUCCUCAAGGCUGCCUGGCACACCCUUCCUGGUCAUGGCUUCCCAGGGCUCGGGCGGUGGCCGGGAGGCAGGGCAGCCACCAUGCCCCUCAGAGCCAAGCAGCCUCCCAAGGCCGCAGCAGGGCACCAGCUGGAAAGCAAGGGCCAGGCACUUGGGCUCUUAGCCCUGCCCAGAGGGCCUCAGACCCAGGGUUGUGAGGGAUUUGAAGGUGACCCCAGAGGGAAGCAGUGGCUGAGGCAGGGCCUCAGGCGCCAUGCUGCCCCCAGAGGGCAGUCCCCUGAGUGAGGACAGAGCCUGAGCCACAGGGCCCGCUCUUUGUCCCACCACCUGGAACAGAUGCCUCAGGAGCUCAAGACUAGAGAAGGGCUAGCCAGGUGUGCCACCCCUGCCCCCAGCCAUGCGCAGUCUCCUUUCUCAAGUGUGGCCACUUCACCUGAGGCUGAGCCAGUGAGCGCCGGGACAUGGCUCACCUGGCUUUGGUUGAGUAACUGAAGGAAGUGCCUCCACCUUCCUUCAGUCCUGGGUUUCUCAGCCCACUGGAAUCUCCAGGCAGCUGUGGGUUCCAAUGUGAUCGCCAGUAUGACAACACCUGAGUGGAAGAAGGAUCACGUCCCACAUUUGCAUCUGCUCAGAGCCCCUCUGCCUGACUUGGGGACAUGGGAUGACAGUCCUUUCAGGGGCUCCCUCCUCCGCCCAUGGAAUUCAAAGGAACCUCUUAGCUUCUGUGGGGCCAGAAAAUGGGAGUGGCUGGGCCCCUGGAAAGGGUAUGGGCCCAGGUCAUCAGUAGUUCCAGAAUCAGUUGCCCUGGCCAUGCCCCCCCAGUCUCGGGGUGCUGCCCGCCUCCGUGGGGCCACACAAGCUUCCUCCACUCCAAGCUCUGGCCUCAUGCUCUCCGCUGCACUUCCCUGGAGGCUCAGAGGUCACUAAGGUUCUAGUGGGCUGUUAAUCACAGGACCCCCUGCCCCCACCCUGUGGCUGAGUGGGUGACGCAGCUGAUCCAGCCAUGGUGUGCAUCCUCCUGCCCACAGUGGUUGAACUAGGGGACGGUACCCCAGUGGAGCAAAUCAGGAUCCAAUAUGAGAUUUGUCUUGGGGGUGUCAGUCAUCCCAAGAGCUAUGAAAACUACCCAAACUAUUCGGGAUGCACACCAGAAAAGGAAGCCACUCCAGAGGCAAGCAGAGGGAGAGGUGGAGAGAGGCAGGACCCUGACAACAUCCUGGGCUCACCCGAUCCAGCUGCACCUGAAGCUAAACCUCUUGGACUUCCAAGAUAUGUAGGCCCACAAUUUGUUGCCUAUUUGAGUUGAUUUGUCUGUCACAACUGAGGGAGUUGUGAAAUCCUCUUUCAACUCCCGUGGAGCAUUUGGGACAGCUCAGACCUUUGCACACACAGCCCUGGUUACUGUUUUUGUGCCUGGCGGAGAGACACACAUUCUCUUGGACCUGUGGCCCCUCCGUCUCACAGCCCCCUACCUCCAGCUCCUAAGCAGGGUGCUUCCCUGACCCCACUCCCAACCUGCAAAGGAGAGUUUCCCGGUUUUCUGACCCUCUCAGAACACCUUAAGCCAGGCUAGGCAGGGAAGAAGGCUUCCUCAGCUGGACCACCCAGGCGAGGGCCCCAGGAGGAGUGUUUUAUACGUCUGCAGAGCCGUGUGAGCUAAAUGAAAGACAAGCCACAGAACAACCUGGAUAUUCCUGUCCUUUUCAAGGGUGGUGGGAAAGCCUAGCUAACUGAAGAGCAGGUUGCGAGGUUCCUACCUGAACCCUCUUCCACCCCUGAGCCAGCCCUUGAUACUCUCUUUAAAAAUCAUUUUGUGGACAGUGCCUCCUGAGAGGGCUGAGUUGGUGGGUGUUGUGGCCCAAAGACUGGAGCACUCACUCUCUGAGGCCAGUCAUGGGUAAGCAGGCCGCCUGCACCCGGACCGCCCCCCUCACUGGGAUCCCAUUCAGCACGUGAGCUUGGGCAUCCAGAGAGGGGAAGCUGGCAGAGCCACAGUAGAGCCCGGGUCUGGGAUCCUCCCCCAGUAUAGAGAGGACAGGAAAGGAGACCCGAGGGGAGGGAAGAGGCGGGGGUCCUCCAGGGGGUCAGGGAGCUCAGGCCAAGGGAGAUGAAGCCAGCAGUGGUGCUGGGAGCCUGCAGCCAGCCACCCCCUCUCACUGAGGUCUCAGCACAGAGCAAGAGUGGGCUUCACCUUUCUUGAGUGUCCCCAGGCCUGAGUGUGGACCCUCCAGUGCCAGUAGUUCUUUCAAGCAGGUCACAUUUCUUCACUUUGCUGAAUGAAGAGCCACCAUUCCCUUUCCCCCACCCCCAAGCUCUAGUCAGCCAAACUCAGCUAUGGCUGACCACCCCUCAACCUUCCUGAAUGUGCUGGAACCCCAGGGAUACUGGGCAAUGUGGAAGGCGGUCUGGUCCCAGUCCUCUGGAGUGGCCAUCAGAGCUGAUGCUAAAGCAAACUGGAGGGGCUUGAGUGGGGCUGUUGAGGGCCAGGAAAUCGGGGAACUGAAGGAAUUGGGGCCUGAGGACGUGGGAGGUUGGGGCUAGGUACCAGGAUAACUAGACAUGGGGCUUGGGGUCUGGGGAGAUGGUCAGGAACUGAGUGGUAUAAGAUUCUUAGGGGGUCUGGGAAUCCUAGGAAUUGGAAACCAAGGGCACAUGGGAGAUGGGACCUGGGAUGUAAAAAAAAAAUUUAAGACUUUGAAUAAGCAGAGCAGAUUCCUGGUAUCUGGGGAAAGCUGUGCCCUGUUUAGGGCACGCCUCUCCCAGGUCUCCAGUUCAUGAGAUCAGUGCAUGUCUUUGUCUUUGAGAUAUUUUACAACUUUGUAGACAACUAAUAGCAAUGUAAAUAAUUACUUUCCAUAGAUUUGGAAAUAAAUUAAUGGUCAAUAGAUUUCCCUCCUCCAGUCACGGAAAAAGCUGGCUUUGCAUCCAUUUAAGUUACCCCUGUCACUGACAGCAGUGGAGCAAUGUUGGGCAUUGGUUUCAAAGUCUGACCAUUUGGUGAGCUCUGUAAUGGACCAAUGGUUUAUAGACAUCUAGUAUCUAUCGGAUGGGAAACAGUGGACAACCUGGGAGAAAGAAUCAACAAAUUGAAGAUAGUUCAGUUGAGAUUAUCCAGUCUGAGAAAGAGAAAGAAAAAAGAAGAAAAAUGAACAGAACCUCAGAGACCUGUGGAACACCAUCAAGCUCACCAAACAUACCUGUAAUGGGAGUCCCAGAGGAGAAGAGAGGAAGUAGCCAAAAGAAUAUUUACAGAAAUAAUGUCUGAAAUCUUCCCAAAUUUGAUGAACAUGUUAAUACACACAUCUAAGAAACUUAAUUCACUCCAAGUGGGAUAAACAAGAUAUCCACACCUAGAGACAUAAUAAUCAGGCUGCGAAAAGCCAGAGACAGAGAAUCUUAGGAACAGUGAAAGAAGGGGCCCAUCGUGUGCGCGUGGUCCUCAGUAAGACUAACAGCUCACCUUCGUCAGAGACCAGGGAGGCCAGAGGUGUAAUAUAACACGUUCAAAGUGCUGAGGGAAAACAAAUGUUGAUCAAGAAUUCUACAUUCAGGAUUCUGUGUUUUAUAACCAUCAAAUAUGAAGAGAAAUUAAGACAGUCCCAGAAAAUAAAGACUGAGAGAAGUUGUCACUAGCAGGCCUUCCUGGUGGGAAAUGUUAGAGGUAAUCCUUCAGACUGAAAUAAAAGAACAUUAGACGGUAAUUCAAAUCCACAUGAAGAAAUACAGAGUCCUGGUAGAGGUAACUGCAUAGGUAAGUACAAAAUUCAGUAGUAAUGCAUGUUUUUCUUGCAACUCUC
Molecule: non-coding RNA, 4108 nt
Organism: Vicugna pacos (alpaca)
Lineage: Eukaryota; Metazoa; Chordata; Mammalia; Artiodactyla; Camelidae
Source: RefSeq, a predicted model, not a curated record